UACGUAGGGGGCGAGCGUUGUCCGGAUUUAUUGGGCGUAAAACGCUUGUAGGCGGUCACGCAAAGUCGGACGUGAAAUCUCCCGGCUCAACUGGGAGGGGUCAUUCGAUACUGGCGGACUCGAGGCAGGUAGGGGGAAGCGGAAUUCCCGGUGUAGUGGUGGAAUGCGUAGAUAUCGGGAGGAACACCAGAGGCGAAGGCGGCUUCCUGGACCUGUUCUGACGCUGAGGAGCGAAAGCGUGGGGAGCGAUCCGG
RNAcentral lists this ribosomal RNA (254 nucleotides) under uncultured Dehalogenimonas sp. Its description in RNAcentral is "partial 16S ribosomal RNA". It matches the Rfam family "Bacterial small subunit ribosomal RNA", at positions 524 to 776 of the family's 1533-position model. The record is from RNAcentral. Lineage: Bacteria; Bacillati; Chloroflexota; Dehalococcoidia; Dehalococcoidales; Dehalococcoidaceae.